Molecule: ribosomal RNA, 274 nt
Filed under: uncultured bacterium
Lineage: Bacteria
Description: partial 16S ribosomal RNA
Rfam family: Bacterial small subunit ribosomal RNA
Source: RNAcentral
AUACGGAGGGUGCGAGCGUUAAUCGGAAUUACUGGGCGUAAAGCGCACGUAGGUGGUUUAUUAAGUCAGAUGUGAAAUCCCUGGGCUCAACCUAGGAACUGCAUAUGAAACUGGUAGGCUAGAGUACAGUAGAGGGUGGUAGAAUUUCUAGUGUAGCGGUGGAAUGCGUAGAUAUUAGAAGGAAUACCAGUGGCGAAGGCGGCCACCUGGACUGAUACUGACGCUAAGGUGCGAAAGCGUGGGGAGCGAACAGGAUUAGAUACCCCAGUAGUCC